This 463-nucleotide ribosomal RNA is filed under the name uncultured bacterium. RNAcentral describes it as "partial 16S ribosomal RNA". It matches the Rfam family "Bacterial small subunit ribosomal RNA", at positions 28 to 507 of the family's 1533-position model. The record is from RNAcentral.
GACGAACGCUGGCGGCGUGCUUAGCACAUGCAAGUCGAACGGUGAACCGCUUCGGAGGGUAUCAGUGGCGAACGGGUGAGUAACACGUUGGCAACCUGCCCCCGUCUCUGUGAUAACUCCAAGACAUUGGGGCUAAUACCGUAUGUUCACCGCUUCCCGCAUGGGGGGUGGUGGAAAGGGUUUCCGGCGGGGGGUGGUCCCGCGGCCUAGCAGCUGGUUGGUGUGGUAGUGGCCGACCAGGACGACGACAGGUAGCCGGCCUGAGAGCGUGACCGUGCACACUGGGCCUGAGAGACGCACCAGAAGCCUACGGGAGGCAGCAGUGGGGAAUAUUGCGGAAUGGGCGGAAGCGUGACGCAGAGACGCUGCGUGGGGGAUGACGGCCUUCGGGUUGUAAACAUAUUUCAGAAGGGACGAAGCGGACGUGACGGUACCUGCAGAAGAAGCAACGGCUAACUACGUG